ACGUAAGUUACGUACUAACUACCGCUAUUAUUCUGGUGAGCGAAGGAAAGGAGGGGGAUCGCAAGACCUUCUUGUCUUUAGGAGCGGCCGAUGUCGGAUUAGCUAGUUGGUGAGGUAAAGGCUCACCAAGGCGACGAUCCGUAGCGGGUCUGAGAGGAUGAUCCGCCACACUGGGACUGAGACACGGCCCAGACUCCUACGGGAGGCAGCAGUGGGGAAUUUUGGACAAUGGGCGCAAGCCUGAUCCAGCCAUGCCGCGUGAGUGAAGAAGGCCUUCGGGUUGUAAAGCUCUUUCGGUGGGGAAGAAAUUGCUUCGGUUAAUACCUGGAGUAGAUGACGGUACCCGCAUAAGAAGCACCGGCUAACUACGUG
RNAcentral lists this ribosomal RNA (372 nucleotides) under uncultured bacterium. RNAcentral describes it as "bacterial SSU rRNA". It matches the Rfam family "Bacterial small subunit ribosomal RNA", at positions 148 to 507 of the family's 1533-position model. The record is from RNAcentral.